GGAGAGGUGCCAGAGUGGACGAUCGGGGCGGUCUCGAAAACCGUUGAGGUCCUUGCGGGCCUCCGUGGGUUCGAAUCCCACCCUCUCCGCCA
RNAcentral lists this transfer RNA (92 nucleotides) under Chloroflexota bacterium. Its description in RNAcentral is "Chloroflexi bacterium (cold seep metagenome) tRNA-Ser". It matches the Rfam family "tRNA". From Rfam's summary of the family: Transfer RNA (tRNA) molecules are approximately 80 nucleotides in length. Their secondary structure includes four short double-helical elements and three loops (D, anti-codon, and T loops). The record is from RNAcentral. Lineage: Bacteria; Bacillati; Chloroflexota.